GUCCUCGGUAGGCCUCUGGGUCACCUCCCACCCGUGUCUAUCGUACCUUGUUGCUUCGGCGGGCCCGCCGUUUCGACGGCCGCCGGGGAGGCCUUGCGCCCCCGGGCCCGCGCCCGCCGAAGACCCCAACAUGAACGCUGUUCUGAAAGUAUGCAGUCUGAGUUGAUUAUCGUAAUCAGUUAAAACUUUCAACAACGGAUCUCUUGGUUCCGGCAUCGAUGAAGAACGCAGCGAAAUGCGAUAAGUAAUGUGAAUUGCAGAAUUCAGUGAAUCAUCGAGUCUUUGAACGCACAUUGCGCCCCCUGGUAUUCCGGGGGGCAUGCCUGUCCGAGCGUCAUUGCUGCCCUCAAGCACGGCUUGUGUGUUGGGCCCCCGUCCCCCUCUCCCGGGGGACGGGCCCGAAAGGCAGCGGCGGCACCGCGUCCGGUCCUCGAGCGUAUGGGGCUUUGUCACCUGCUCUGUAGGCCCGGCCGGCGCCAGCCGACACCCAACUUUAUUUUUCUAAGGUUGACCUCGGAUCAGGUAGGGAUACCCGCUGAACUUAAGCAUAUCAAUAAAACAAAAGGUUAAAC
Molecule: ribosomal RNA, 572 nt
Filed under: Aspergillus fumigatus
Lineage: Eukaryota; Fungi; Ascomycota; Eurotiomycetes; Eurotiales; Aspergillaceae
Description: eukaryotic LSU rRNA
Rfam family: 5.8S ribosomal RNA (bases 184-337)
Source: RNAcentral